RNAcentral lists this ribosomal RNA (465 nucleotides) under uncultured bacterium. RNAcentral describes it as "partial 16S ribosomal RNA". It matches the Rfam family "Bacterial small subunit ribosomal RNA", at positions 338 to 795 of the family's 1533-position model. The record is from RNAcentral.
CCUACGGGGGGCAGCAGUGGGGAAUAUUGCGCAAUGGGCGAAAGCCUGACGCAGCGACGCCGCGUGAGGGAUGAAGGUCUUCGGAUCGUAAACCUCUGUCAGCAGGGAAGAACGGUCACUGUGCUAAUCAGCAGUGAAUUGACGGUACCUGCAAAGGCAGCACCGGCUAACUCCGUGCCAGCAGCCGCGGUAAUACGGAGGGUGCGAGCGUUAAUCGGAAUUACUGGGCGUAAAGCGCUCGUAGGCGGUAUGUCAAGUCAAGGGUGAAAUCCCCGCGCUCAACGUGGGAACUGCCUUUGAAAAUGGCAAACUGGAGUGUGUGAGAGGAUAGUGGAAUUCCAGGUGUAGGAGUGAAAUCCGUAGAUAUCUGGAGGAACAUCAGUGGCGAAGGCGACUAUCUGGAACAUAACUGACGCUGAGGAGCGAAAGCGUGGGUAGCAAACAGGAUUAGAUACCCCAGUAGUC